GACGAACGCUGGCGGCGUGCCUAAUACAUGCAAGUCGAGCGGACUGAAUGGGAGCUUGCUCUUGUUCGGUCAGCGGCGGACGGGUGAGUAACACGUGGGCAACCUGCCCGCAAGACCGGGAUAACUCCGGGAAACCGGAGCUAAUACCGGAUAACACCGAAGACCGCAUGGUCUUUGGUUGAAAGGCGGCGCAAGCUGCCACUUGCGGAUGGGCCCGCGGCGCAUUAGCUAGUUGGUGAGGUAACGGCUCACCAAGGCGACGAUGCGUAGCCGGCCUGAGAGGGGGACCGGCCACACUGGGACUGAGACACGGCCCAGACUCCUACGGGAGGCAGCAGUAGGGAAGCUUCCGCAAUGGGCGAAAGCCUGACGGAGCGACGCCGCGUGAGCGAAGAAGGCCUUCGGGUCGUAAAGCUCUGUUGUGAGGGACGAAGGAGCGCCGUUUGAAGAAGGCGGCGCGGUGACGGUACCUCACGAGGAAGCCCCGGCUAACUACGUG
RNAcentral lists this ribosomal RNA (499 nucleotides) under uncultured bacterium. RNAcentral describes it as "partial 16S ribosomal RNA". It matches the Rfam family "Bacterial small subunit ribosomal RNA", at positions 28 to 507 of the family's 1533-position model. The record is from RNAcentral.